ACGGGUAUUUAUAAAGUAGGUGAUGUUGUUAUUGUGUAACUCUCAUCCCUGAAUGUUUGGAACAUGGAAAUUAUGAUAUUUAGUGGACGAUUACUUCAUUAACUACUAUUAAGAUCGAAUAAUGAGCCACUUGUGGAUGACUAUUGCGCUCCAUGUGCACAUGCAGCUAAUGCACGUGCCAAAUAACCGUCGUAUGAAAUUUAGACUAU
Molecule: long non-coding RNA, 209 nt
Filed under: Elaeis guineensis (African oil palm)
Lineage: Eukaryota; Viridiplantae; Streptophyta; Magnoliopsida; Arecales; Arecaceae
Description: long non-coding RNA (EGUI_LNC000153)
Source: RNAcentral